This 510-nucleotide ribosomal RNA is filed under the name uncultured bacterium. RNAcentral's name for it is "bacterial SSU rRNA". It matches the Rfam family "Bacterial small subunit ribosomal RNA", at positions 791 to 1294 of the family's 1533-position model. The record is from RNAcentral.
UAGUCCACGCCCUAAACGAUGUGCACUAGAUCGAGGUAGGUCUGACCCUUUCUCGGUCGUAGAGAAAUUGUUAAGUGCACCGCCUGGGGAGUACGGUCGCAAGGCUAAAACUCAAAGGAAUUGACGGGGGGCUCACACAAGCGGUGGAGCAUGUUGCUUAAUUCGAAGCAACGCGAAGAACCUUACCAGGGUUUGACAUGCACGGAUUAACUCUGUGAAAGCAGAGCCACACCUUCGGGUGGAACGUGCACAGGUGCUGCAUGGCUGUCGUCAGCUCGUGCUGUGAAGUGUCGGGUUAAGUCCCUUAACGAGCGCAACCCUUAUCGCUAGUUGCCAGCGUGUAACGACGGGGACUCUAGCGAGACUGCCGGUGUCAAACCGGAGGAAGGUGGGGAUGACGUCAAAUCAUCAUGGCCUUUAUGCCCUGGGCUACACACGUGCUACAAUGGUGGAUACAAAGGGUUGCCAACCCGCGAGGGGGAGCUAAUCUCAGAAAAUCCAUCUCAGUCC